RNAcentral lists this small nuclear RNA (100 nucleotides) under Octodon degus (degu). Lineage: Eukaryota; Metazoa; Chordata; Mammalia; Rodentia; Octodontidae. The record is from RNAcentral.
AUAUUUUAGCACAUAUACUAAAAUUGGAACGAUACAGAGAAGAUUAUCAUGGCCCCUGCGCAAGGAUGACACACAAAUUUGUGAAGUGUUCCAUAUUUUU